This 252-nucleotide long non-coding RNA is filed under the name Durio zibethinus. Its description in RNAcentral is "long non-coding RNA (DZIB_LNC000905)". The record is from RNAcentral. Lineage: Eukaryota; Viridiplantae; Streptophyta; Magnoliopsida; Malvales; Malvaceae.
AAAGGGGUCUGAUUUUCAAUUGACAAAUACAAGGAGAAUACAUUUUUAAAGAAAGGAGAGGAAGCAAAAAACCUUCAUUCACAAAACUACCUAGAAAUUCCAGUGAAUCGGAACCACCCUCACAAAAAAGGAACCAAUUCCCAGUCCUUGUUUAGCACCAUUUCACUAUUCCCAGACUCACACCAAGUUUUUGACAGAACCCAGUACCGCACCCUUGCACGCCUUACACCUAACACAGGCCCUCGCAAGUAC